AUACACCAAACAUGCACUUAGGUUCAGUAGUACUCCUAGGUUUUGUAAAUGCUCCUAAAUCCAAUUGGGUUCAGUAGUACUCCGAGGAGUAAAUGGGCAUCAAGAGAAUGAUUUGGCAUGUGUUUCAGUUAGGUUCAGUAAUACUCCUAGAUUUUGCAUGGUGUUCAGUUAGGUUCAUUUAUCCAAUAGCACAAGCAAAGCAUUUUCAGUCUAAUCUGCUUCCAAAGGACAUAAUCUUUAUCCUGUAGGCUAGAUUGGGCUUAGAGCCACGUGGUAGCCAACUGCAUGUUGGAAACAGGAGCAAGAAUGGUCAACUUUAUGCUUUGAUCAACUAUGGUGUUUGGUGUUUUGGUUUAGUCCUAUGAACUUAUAGUAUUUCUUCAUAUAUGGGACAUUAAGAAAUGUAUUAGCUGCACCUAUAUGCGCUCCCGCAAAACAAAACUGAACAAUUCCUCUAAUUUGGAAUUUGUAUUUGUUGUAUUCUAUAUCUGCUAUGCAAGCUACACGAUGCAACAAUUUUAGUUUUUUAUUCUUUUGUACUGUCAUGGACUCUGAUGGUUGUAUAGGGCAACUUUUUUCUUCACUCCAUAAUUCAGGAUGAACCAGGUGUCUUGGUCAUAUGGUUUAUUUCAGUCCACCUCAGGGAACAAAGUUCAUCUCCAAUGGCAAAUCCAUAGCUUUGUGCUAAAGGUUCAGGCAGAUGGAAGCAUUAGCAAUUCCCUCGACAUAGCUCUCGAUUGGGCCUGAACCACAACCAGCUAAGGGGACAUUUCUACAGAUCGUUUCUAUCUGAUUUCCGACAUUUUCAGUUUUUGGAACACCCAGAAUGGAUAUAUUGAGUGUCCCUCUUGCUGCUAAACACAAUACACUUGAGAUUAUGUCCCUACUGAGAUUCUUAAAGAACAUGGUACACCGGAAUAGCUUCAGAUCAAAGUAACUCAGCCGAUGGACCUUCUUAUCAUGAAACACCAUGGCAAUCGAGCUGUCGUCCGUCCGUCCCUCCCUCCUCGCGCCCGGAACCCUAGCUCGCGGCCAUGGCGACCGUGCACGUCGCAGGCAGCGCAGGAUCUUCAGCACUACAAGUUGUGAUUUCUAUCACAUGUUUGUUUGAUACACAAGGUCGAUCGUCUAUCACCUGUUCCUAUUAGGCUUGAAAUACAACAAAGGAUAUGCGAUUAGUGCUUACUACUCUUGCAUGUAAAAAGUUGUGAUUUCUUUUUUUCAAGCCCCUUUCUUUUCUCUGGAUGCAUGUCCAUCCAUCAUGUACCCACCCACACAUGCAAAUGAAUUCGUUUGGUGGUUAUAUCUUGAGUGGCAUCUGAAUACACAAGCGUGACCAAUAGUAAGCGUGAGUGCUAGAGAAGUCCCCAUUUAGCAUGAUGGAGAGCAGGAUUGUCCCCAUUUAUAUUUGGUUCACACAGUUGUAGCUUCCUUUUUGUACGGGUUGCAAUGAUAUGGCUUGGUCGCGGCUUAGGUCAGACAGAGAUGAUCCAGUACUAAUUAAGCAUCAUUGAUAAAUAACAAGAGGGGCAUGUGAGGAGCUCUGUCUUGCUUGUAAUAGCUAAACUAUUGUUACCUACUUAAUGAGAUCCAUCGUCGAUCUGCUCUAUUGACUAAAUGUACCCUGCUUGCUUUGCUUUGACAAAAUGGCCUGUACUGAACUUGGUCAUCCUUGGCUACCCAGAUGGGAUGUCUAUAAGGAGAACUAUCCAGUCCAUAUCUGAAUCUAGGAACUAUGAACUAUUAUAUCGAUGAUGUCGAGUUAUGUCUACAUAGCCUGCUUUGCUAUGCUUCUAUAAGCUCAAUGUAUCCUUUGUACUGUUCUUCUUCUUCGACUUAUCUGCUCAUUUUUAGAUAAAUUUUCAUGUGAGUACCAAUGUUAUAAAUCAGAAUUCUCUUUCUAAGGAUGCUUAUGUCGCAACGGUUCAUCAUAUUUGUCAACAUAUUCUAUACAAUAUGUUAUGCAGUCUAAAACCCAUCUUAAAUUUCAUAUCUUAUGAACAGAUAAUAAUUUGCAGUAUGACACUGUACUGAACUAAUAUCAUUGCUUUUUUUUUUAUAUUUACAAUGCUCCUAUGACUGUUCUGUAAAAAAAAUGCUCCUAUGACUGUAUUACCCAAUUGGAUAUAAUUGUACCCGGCAGCGGCGCAGCCGGGUGCGGCAAGCCGCAUUUCCUACUGUUUAAUUGAUUGACUGGUGUGCAUAUGAUUUCAAGGUAUCACUUUCAAGGUAGGAGACUGAUAUGAACUGCCAAUGUAAUUUCUUUUUAUUUGUGAUUCUUGCUGUUUAAUUGAUUGACUGGUGUGCAUAUGAUUUCUAAUAUAUGAAUUCCUUCGUCUUGUGUAUUGAAUAUAGGAUUUAGCUACAGAUAAUCAUUAAUCAACUAAUGUAAUUUCUUUGCCAAGUUGUAGUUAGAGUUAAAUGUGCCACUGGUUAUUUUAUAUCCUUUAUUUAUUCUUAUUCUUCUAAAUGAAAUAGGAGAUUUGUUGGUGCUCCAUUAACUAAAUAUCACUGACAAAAUGUUGUUCUCAUUUCAGUUGAGAGAAAAGUUGCAUACUUUGUGAACCAAUUGGAGAUUCAUGUUGUUUCCCUGGAUAUUGUGUAGUUAGAGUUGAUGUCACUGGUUAUUUUAUAUCAUUUGUUACUAUUCUUUAAUCGCCAAAUCAUAUAGGAGAUUUUGUUGGUGCCGAAUUAACCGAAUGUUACUGACAAAACUGACAAAAUGUUGUUCUUAUUUCAGUUUGAGCGCAAAUUGCAUGCUCUAUAAACUAACGGGAGAUUUCUGUUGUUACGAGAAUAUUGUAGGAAGGGUGGACUAUGAAGGGAAACACUGGUGUUCUAAGAUAGAUGUUCUGUGUUUGAGAUCUUGCCUUGGUAGCUGGAUGCCUUGGUGCAAGACAUUCAAGGUUGUUUGAUGCGUUCAUGCUCGUCGGCGGGACGGUGCAAGGCGCAACUCCGACGCGGUUCCUCGCCGGUUGGACGGCUUUCAGGCGCAACCCUGGUGUGCACUGAGUACUGCCUCGGCUACAGCCUCCCUCGCCAAGAUGAGUGCUCUAUGCUUACGGCUCAUGCUAACUGAACUGGUGAUGUUUCUUUCUUUACCUCGAUUGACGCCACAUGUUCCCCUUGGUUGCCGCGUCGUCCUCGUCUUCGGCUUGCAAGGGACUGGAUCUGGUGUGAUUGAUUCUUCCUCUCACAAGGUUAUGAUGGCCGACAAACAGCUCCAAGUUCACGGGUCGCCAGGCUCGCCGAGUGACGCUGGCUCCAACGGUGGUCUGUGAGCACUUGCCCAGGUCAAUUGAUAUUUGUGGUGGCCCUUCUCUGUUUUUACUUGGAAAAUUUUAGUUCAUAUGUGCCUCGGCGAUUUUUAAAAUCAAAGGAAAUGCUCUGUGCAGAAAAAUACAUAUCUAAUCUAGGGGGUAUAUGUAAUAGCAGUAGAUAAAUAAUAAUGUUUAGAUUCAGGCAGUAUACUAUAAUCUGCCUUCUGGAGAGGGGCCUAUGCUUGCUAAGUUCUUUGUACGGUGCCUUCAGGGAGGCUGUGUGGUGCCGACGGCGAGGUCUUCAUAAUGGCAUCAAGUCACCCUUGCCAUAUGGAUCAUAUGUAAACUCUUCCUGCUAACCUACAGGAGUACAUUUUGAUGCUUCAAGUCUGAACCUAUGUAACUUGUGAACUAAUGCCUCCCUGAGUGUGUGUGUGUGUGCACGCGCGCUAUGUUAAAUCAAACUUCUUCAGACUA
Triticum dicoccoides is the source of this 3737-nucleotide long non-coding RNA. RefSeq lists it as uncharacterized. The record is from RefSeq and is a predicted model, not a curated record. The transcript has 8 exons. Lineage: Eukaryota; Viridiplantae; Streptophyta; Magnoliopsida; Poales; Poaceae.